This 590-nucleotide ribosomal RNA is filed under the name uncultured Pseudozyma. RNAcentral's name for it is "eukaryotic LSU rRNA". It matches the Rfam family "Eukaryotic large subunit ribosomal RNA", at positions 97 to 668 of the family's 3401-position model. Lineage: Eukaryota; Fungi; Basidiomycota; Ustilaginomycetes; Ustilaginales; Ustilaginaceae. The record is from RNAcentral.
AGAGGGAAGAGCCCAAGAUUGAAAGCUGGCGUCUUCGGCGUCCGCAUUGUAAUCUCAAGAAGUGUUUUCCGCUUCGGACCAAGCCUAAGUCCCCUGGAAAGGGGCAUCAUAGAGGGUGAUAAUCCCGUACAUGGCUUGGAGCGCCCGAGGCUUUGUGAUACGCUUUCUAAGAGUCGAGUUGUUUGGGAAUGCAGCUCAAAAUGGGUGGUAAAUGCCAUCUAAGGCUAAAUAUUGGGGAGAGACCGAUAGCGAACAAGUACAGUGAUGGAAAGAUGAAAAGAACUUUGAAAAGAGAGUUAAACAGUACGUGAAAUUGCCAAAAGGGAAGGGUAGGAGGUCAGAGAUGCGUCGCAGGAUUCAGCCUUGCUUUUGCUUGGUGUUUUUCCUGCGUUGCAGGCCAACGUCGGUUUUGGGCACUGGAGAAGGGUAGGAGGAACGUGGCACCUCUCGGGGUGUGUUAUAGCCUCCUACUGGAUACAGCGACCGAGACCGAGGAACGCAGCGUACUCGUAAGAGCGGGCCUUUUGGCACCUUUACGCUUAGGGCGUUGGCAUAAUGGCCCUCUACCACCCGUCUUGAAACACGGACCA